UUGAUUCCUUCAGUGUGACCAAACUCACCUGCAGAUGAUACCUGACCGUUAGCAUCUCCCUCUCUUAAAUUCACUUUCUUGAAGGAUCAUCCUACCUUAAAAUUUCUGAGAAGAUCACUGACGUGCCAUGUGGUUUUUCAGAUAUCACUGGCAUCCCUAACAUUAUCUGAUCAUACAACUUAUUCUUGGUACAAAUUCUACAGCUUCUUACAGUUUUGAGAUACCUUACUUUCAUAUAAUUUGGGGAUUUAUAAAAAAAAAAAAAAAUUCCCUUUUCCAAUGAAGUUUUUCCCCAAUUUUAUGGGGCAUAAUCUAAAAAAAAGAUCCCAAC
RNAcentral lists this unclassified non-coding RNA (331 nucleotides) under Hevea brasiliensis (rubber tree). The record is from RNAcentral. Lineage: Eukaryota; Viridiplantae; Streptophyta; Magnoliopsida; Malpighiales; Euphorbiaceae.